GGUUGCUGCCCUUGACUACUAUGAAGACUGGUGUGGGAAGGGUCGCUUUGGAUGCACUUGAGCUGGGGUCCCCAACCCCUUAGCCAUGGAGCCGUAAGGAGCCACACAGCAGGUGGGACCAUCCAGUUUCAGGAAAACAAGCUUAACACGCCCACUGAUUCUACAUUAUGCUCCUACCUCCCGGCAGCCUGGCCAGGCCCAGAACUCUCUCCAGUCAGCCUCUACAGACCAAGCUCAUGACUCACAAUGGCCUAUUUAGGCCCAUACCCUACCUCACGGCAGUCUCCGCAGAUGAGCCUACUGCCUCACAACAGCCUCCACAGGCACAGCUCCGUCGUUACAAUGGCCUCUUUAGACCCAGCUCCUGCCUCCCAGCCUUCUCUCCAGGCCCUGAACUUUCUCCGUGGGACCAUCCAGUUUCAGGAAAACAAGCUUAACACGCCCACUGAUUCUACAUUAUGCUCCUACCUCCCGGCAGCCUGGCCAGGCCCAGAACUCUCUCCAGUCAGCCUCUACAGACCAAGCUCAUGACUCACAAUGGCCUAUUUAGGCCCAUACCCUACCUCACGGCAGUCUCCGCAGAUGAGCCUACUGCCUCACAACAGCCUCCACAGGCACAGCUCCAUCGUUCCAAUGGCCUCUUUAGACCCAGCUCCUGCCUCCCAGCCUUCUCUCCAGGCCCUGAACUUUCUCCCUGAGACACACGCCUUGGGAGCUAAGUGGUUGCUGCACUUGACUACUAUGAAGACUGGUGUGGGAAGGGUCGCUUUGGAUGCACUUGAGCAGGGGUCCCCAACCCCUGAGCCAUGGAGCCGUAAGGAGCCACACAGCAGGUGGGACCAUCCAGUUUCAGGAAAACAAGCUUAACACGCCCACUGAUUCUACAUUAUGCUCCUACCUCCCGGCAGCCUGGCCAGGCCCAGAACUCUCUCCAGUCAGCCUCUACAGACCAAGCUCAUGACUCACAAUGGCCUAUUUAGGCCCAUACCCUACCUCACGGCAGUCUCCGCAGAUGAGCCUACUGCCUCACAACAGCCUCCACAGGCACAGCUCCAUCGUUCCAAUGGCCUCUUUAGACCCAGCUCCUGCCUCCCAGCCUUCUCUCCAGGCCCUGAACUUUCUCCGAAUCCAUUCGGGAUACCACACUGUGUUUACGUGCCAUUCCUCUUUAGGUGUCUCCUGGCUGGGGCAGCUUCUCGGACCUCCCUUGUUUUAAAGGCCUUGAUGGUUUUCAGAAGUUGCGGCCAGAUAGUCUGUGGAAUGUCCCUCCUGUGGAACUUGUCUGGUGUUUUCUCACAAUGCACCAGGUUAUGGGUUGUUGGGAAGAUCACAGAGGUCUCACUUGUUUGGAGAAAGGCUGCAGAUGGAGGAGGAGUGACAUGCCCUACUUUUAAGGAGGAAGGAGCCAGAAAACCCACCCCAACAUGAUGCUUGAAAUCCUCUCUGGCUUUGUUUUGAAGCGCACUGCCCUGAGUUACAGCAUCUUUAUUGAAAGGGAGAACCAGGAAAAAGGAAAGAAAAGAAAAGAAAAAAGACCAGGAGUAGAAAGGAGAAAUGGCAGCACAAUCCCUGCUGGGAAUCUCUGCUGAGAGCACAGCCUCCCAGGGACUAAGCCUGUGGGAACAAUGCCAAGCUUCCUGGAUUUCUUCAACAGUUUUACAAAGCCUGCACAAAAGGUCAUGUAAGUUUUGAAGACUCAAAAAAAAGAAAAAAAAAAAAAGAUAUGUCCAAGUAAAGCCAGACUCGGCAGCUUCUUUCAAUGUUGGCAUGAUCCCGGAGGGCUGAUCCAUCCCAGUAGCAUAAUGUAGUUAAAUCAGACCGCAAGGUUGAAAACGCUUUGGCAGAAUUCAAAGCGCCCUACACAUAUAAAUUGAAUGCACCAUUGUUGUUAUUCUGUAUUUCCGUGACCUAGCACAAAACGCAACUUCGAAUGAGCAGAGAAAAGCAACUCCGACAAUCAAGCAAACCUCUGUCAACGUCCUCAGAAGUGCUAAGUGCACAGCGGGGCUUGUAGGUUUCUGUGGGGCUCUAGAAAAGUCAGCUAAAAUGGUGAGCAGGAUAAAUUUUCUGUACUGAUCAAGGCCAAUUUAUUUUCCAAAAAUCAACAGAGAAGGCAAGCAGGGAUUAAAGAAACGCAAAGAAACACCACUGCUGGUUUUGGUGGGGCUCCAAGUGUCCCAGGUGUGAUGGACACCAUACAAUACUGACAGUUUUCUUUUCUUUCUUUCUUUCUUUCGAGACAGAGUUUCACUCUUGUUGCCCAGACUGGAGUGCAACGGUGUUAUCUCGGCUCACUGCAACCUCUGUCUCCCUGUCAUAUACAUGUUCAAGGGAUUAUCCUGCCUCAGCCUCCCAAGUAGCCGGGACUAAACACCCAGCUAAUUUCUGUAUUUUUAAAAAUAGAGACAGGGUUUCACCAUGUUGGUCAGGUUGGUCUCGAACUCCUGACCUGAAGUGAUCCACCCACCUUGGCCUCCAAAAGUGCUGGGGUUACAGGCAUGAGACACCGUGCCCAGCCAGUACUGCAGGGUUUCUGAGAGGGUGGGAGUCCAGACAGGGCACAGCCUGCCACUUGGCAAAAGAUUAGAGAAGAAUGCUGACAUUUAAUGAGUAAUUAUGAUAUGCACAAGGAGUAUACUGAUAACACUCAUGUGUAUGCUAUUUUCCUAUAAUAUAGUUGGCAAAGACCUAUUUCUCCAAGUUCCGUAUUGGAGAUCCCAAAUAUCUUGUAGUGAGGGGUGAUUUUGCCCAAUGCAAGAUGGAUAAUCUUUACCCAGGGUCAGGGUGCAGUGGGAGAUCAGGAUCUCCAAAUUUAGUUUGCUAGAACGUCAAUGCACCAAAUUUGAGGAAGCAAGCUGAGAAAAGCAUGAAAUUCUUGCCUUUCCCUCCAUAUAAUUUAAGUAUUUAGACCAGUAUUUCAACCUAAGCAUCUCCUUUGGAAAAGAAUUCUGAUAGAAGGAAUCAUCCCAUAAGUAAGGUGUAUAUAUUUGCUAUUAAUGUUAUAAAUAUUUUGCUCAUCACCACAUGAUAAAAGAACAAGUUUAAAAAAAAAAUGGGUUAUCUGAGGACACAUCCUGGAACCCACUUCCAGAUACUCUAACUCUGCAGAUUUGGGGCAGGGCCUAGGUAAACCCCUCUCCAUCUCCCAUACCACAAUGAUUCCAAUGCAGUAGUCCACAGACCACACUGCCAGACGCACUAAACUAGGAGCAGAGAGAACUGGCUAAUGAGGGUCUGAGAGGCACAACUGGACCCAGAACCUGAGGGCCCCCUUAUUCUCAGCUAAAGAAGUGGCCUUAUACUUUAGCAAAGGGAAACAAUUGGUACCUCUAACCAGAGGAGUCCUUGGGUGGCUGUGUGCUGAAAGGCUGAUUGGAAUAAGAAGGGGCUGACAGGAGGACCCCUUGCCCAAGAAGCUUCUCCAUGGGUCCAGUGUACAGUUAGUGAAAUCUGAACUACAGGUGCAAAUUUGAAGCCUGAAAAUAUAACAUGUUAUUAAAAAGUCACUAGCAACAGCACCAUGUGUUUAGAACUUAGACUAACAAGAUUUAUUCAAAGAAAACUAUUUUAUCACUGAUGGUGCUUAGCAUUGAGAAUGCAUGAGGAUAAUAAAAAUCAGACUGACCUUUAGUUAGUUUUACUAUUAUUCUAAAUUCUCUGCAGACAGUGUGUGCACUGACUGUCUCUAACUUGGUGUGAAUAGCUCCCACCACCUGCUUUUUAUCAUGAUCCUGGUGGGGAGCCCUAAUGAAGUUCAAGGUUUUGGCCAAUGCAAUACAUUCUUAAAACACCACCACAAUCAAAAUAUGAAACACUUUUGUUAUCUCAAGUGGUUUUCUCUGACCUUGCAAGCUGGUCCUCAAUUUCCACUCCUGCUCUUAUCAACCUCUGAUCUCCUUUCUAUUACUACAGAUUUGAUGUGCCUUGCCUAGAGUGUCAUAUACAUAGAAACAUACCCCAAAAAUAGCAGGUUAAAAAUCAAACAGCUCAUCAUGGCAGUAGGAGGAAAACGCUCCUGAACUGGCUUCUUGAAUUUCCUCUGGAUGUGAUGGCAUUUGGGGGCUUAGAUUACAGAAUAAACCAGUAUGUUUAAAUGCCUAAAGCUUUACACAAAUGUUCAGUAGCAUUUAAUAGCAGGUUGGUUUAUAUAUUGACUAUACGUGAAAUUAGUUGCUAUAAUUAUCAUAAAUAAUAAUU
Gorilla gorilla gorilla (western lowland gorilla) is the source of this 4197-nucleotide long non-coding RNA. RefSeq lists it as uncharacterized. The transcript is spliced from 10 exons. NCBI's taxonomy places the organism in Eukaryota, Metazoa, Chordata, Mammalia, Primates, Hominidae. The record is from RefSeq and is a predicted model, not a curated record.